UUUUUAUGGAAGCAAUGGCAAAUCAAAUCCAAUUUCCAUGGAAAACAAAGUGGAACAUGAAGCAGAGGACCAAAUAACAUAUGAUGUGUAUUUCCCUUCUGACUUGGGGAUGCUUUAUAAAGUGAGACUUGGGCUUCAGGGCUGGGAAAAUAACACAUCCCAGUUGUUUCUACGUCACUUUAAAAUGCAGAACACAAAAACCCUGGAUACCUUCAGUCUCACUAUAAAUAAAACACUUCCUCUUUCUCUUAAUGGAGACAGAUGGAUGGAGCUCCCUAUAGAGUGGCCAUUAAAAGAUGCACUUUCUGUGGUCACAUAUCAUGUAACAGUAGUUUCCAGCAAUGUUUUGAAAAAGAAAAGUGUAGUACAGGUGACAAUGUGCGUACAUGGAACCAAUGGUGACACAGGGGACAGACCCCUUCUCCAUCUGUUGCAGAAUCCUAAGCAAAGACAAGAUAAU
This 460-nucleotide long non-coding RNA is filed under the name Crocodylus porosus (Australian saltwater crocodile). RNAcentral describes it as "lncRNA (ENSCPRG00005016268.1)". The record is from RNAcentral. Lineage: Eukaryota; Metazoa; Chordata; Crocodylia; Crocodylidae.